AUUGAACGCUGGCGGCAGGCCUAACACAUGCAAGUCGAGCGGAUGAAGGGAGCUUGCUCCUGGAUUCAGCGGCGGACGGGUGAGUAAUGCCUAGGAAUCUGCCUGGUAGUGGGGGAUAACGUCCGGAAACGGGCGCUAAUACCGCAUACGUCCUGAGGGAGCAAGUGGGGGAUCCUCGGACCUCACGCUAUCAGAUGAGCCUAGGUCGGAUUAGCUAGUUGGUGGGGUAAAGGCCUGCCAAGGCGACGAUCCGUAACUGGUCUGAGAGGAUGAUCAGUCACACUGGAACUGAGACACGGUCCAGACUCCUACGGGAGGCAGCAGUGGGGAAUAUUGGACAAUGGGCGAAAGCCUGAUCCAGCCAUGCCGCGUGUGUGAAGAAGGUCUUCGGAUUGUAAAGCACUUUAAGUUGGGAGGAAGGGCAGUAAGUUAAUACCUUGCUGUUUUGACGUUACCAACAGAAUAAGCACCGGCUAACUUCGUG
This 484-nucleotide ribosomal RNA is filed under the name uncultured bacterium. RNAcentral's name for it is "partial 16S ribosomal RNA". It matches the Rfam family "Bacterial small subunit ribosomal RNA", at positions 30 to 507 of the family's 1533-position model. The record is from RNAcentral.